GUGCUGGCUCAGUUGGUUAGAGCGUGGUGCUGAUAAUGCCAAGGUCACAGGUUCGAUCCCCAUAAGGGACU
This is a non-coding RNA of Podarcis lilfordi (Lilford's wall lizard), 71 nucleotides long. The record is from the annotation of a GenBank genome assembly. Lineage: Eukaryota; Metazoa; Chordata; Lepidosauria; Squamata; Lacertidae.